RNAcentral lists this ribosomal RNA (252 nucleotides) under uncultured bacterium. RNAcentral's name for it is "partial 16S ribosomal RNA". It matches the Rfam family "Bacterial small subunit ribosomal RNA", at positions 524 to 776 of the family's 1533-position model. The record is from RNAcentral.
UACGUAGGGCGCAAGCGUUGUCCGGAAUUAUUGGGCGUAAAGAGCUCGUAGGUGGCGUGUCGCGUCUGCCGUGAAAACUCGGGGCUUAACCCCGGGCCUGCAGUGGGUACGGACAGACUAGAGGUAGGUAGGGGAGAAUGGAAUUCCCGGUGUAGCGGUGAAAUGCGCAGAUAUCGGGAGGAACACCGGUGGCGAAGGCGGUUCUCUGGGCCUUACCUGACGCUGAGGAGCGAAAGCGUGGGAGCGAACAGG